GGGUGUGGCGCAGCUUGGUAGCGCGCGUCGUUCGGGACGACGAGGUCGCAGGUUCAAGAUGGGGGCCUUCGCCGUACCCG
RNAcentral lists this transfer RNA (80 nucleotides) under Dermacoccus nishinomiyaensis. RNAcentral describes it as "tRNA-Pro". Lineage: Bacteria; Bacillati; Actinomycetota; Actinomycetes; Micrococcales; Dermacoccaceae. The record is from RNAcentral.